RNAcentral lists this ribosomal RNA (253 nucleotides) under uncultured bacterium. RNAcentral describes it as "partial 16S ribosomal RNA". It matches the Rfam family "Bacterial small subunit ribosomal RNA", at positions 524 to 776 of the family's 1533-position model. The record is from RNAcentral.
UACGUAGGGUGCAAGCGUUGUCCGGAAUUAUUGGGCGUAAAGAGCUCGUAGGCGGUCUGUCGCGUCUGCUGUGAAAACUCAGGGCUUAACCCUGAGCUUGCAGUGGGUACGGGCAGACUAGAGUGCGGUAGGGGAGACUGGAAUUCCUGGUGUAGCGGUGAAAUGCGCAGAUAUCAGGAGGAACACCGGUGGCGAAGGCGGAUCUCUGGGCCGUAACUGACGCUGAGGAGCGAAAGCAAGGGGAGCGAACAGG